UUCCAGACUCCUACGGGAGGCAGCAGUGAGGAAUAUUGGUCAAUGGUCGGGAGACUGAACCAGCCAAGCCGCGUGAGGGAUGAAGGUACAGAGUAUCGUAAACCUCUUUUGUCAGGGAACAAAGGCGGGGACGCGUCCCCGGAUGAGUGUACCUGAAGAAAAAGCAUCGGCUAACUCCGUGCCAGCAGCCGCGGUAAUACGUAGGUGGCGAGCGUUAUCCGGAAUUAUUGGGCGUAAAGGGUGCGCAGGCGGCAAGAAAAGCUUAAGGUGAAAGCGUGGGGCUCAACCCCAUAAAGCCUUAGGAACUAGCUUGCUAGAGUGCAGGAGAGGGCGAUGGAAUUCCAUGUGUAGCGGUAAAAUGCGUAGAUAUAUGGAGGAACACCAGUGGCGAAGGCGGUCGCCUGGCCUGUAACUGACGCUGAGGCACGAAAGCGUGGGGAGCAAAUAGGAUUAGAUACCCCUGUAGG
RNAcentral lists this ribosomal RNA (467 nucleotides) under uncultured bacterium. Its description in RNAcentral is "bacterial SSU rRNA". It matches the Rfam family "Bacterial small subunit ribosomal RNA", at positions 329 to 794 of the family's 1533-position model. The record is from RNAcentral.